AGAGUUUGAUCCUGGCUCAGGAUGAACGCUAGCUACAGGCUUAACACAUGCAAGUCGAGGGGCAGCAUUUUAGUUUGCUUGCAAACUAAAGAUGGCGACCGGCGCACGGGUGAGUAACACGUAUCCAACCUGCCGAUAACUCGGGGGAUAGCCUUUCGAAAGAAAGAUUAAUAUCCGAUGGUAUAUUAAAACCGCAUGGUUUUACUAUUAAAGAAUUUCGGUUAUCGAUGGGGAUGCGUUCCAUUAGUUUGUUGGCGGGGUAACGGCCCACCAAGGCAACGAUCAGUAGGGGUUCUGAGAGGAAGGUCCCCCACAUUGGAACUGAGACACGGUCCAAACUCCUACGGGAGGCAGCA
Molecule: ribosomal RNA, 356 nt
Filed under: uncultured bacterium
Lineage: Bacteria
Description: bacterial SSU rRNA
Rfam family: Bacterial small subunit ribosomal RNA
Source: RNAcentral